Molecule: unclassified non-coding RNA, 243 nt
Filed under: Solicoccozyma terrea
Lineage: Eukaryota; Fungi; Basidiomycota; Tremellomycetes; Filobasidiales; Piskurozymaceae
Description: partial internal transcribed spacer region
Rfam family: Eukaryotic small subunit ribosomal RNA (bases 1-46)
Source: RNAcentral
AAGUCGUAACAAGGUUUCCGUAGGUGAACCUGCGGAAGGAUCAUUAGUGAAUUAAACAUGCUUGGUGUCUUCGCUUCGGCAAGGCCCUUGCUUAAAUCACAUCCUAACACCUGUGAACUGUAAGACGUAUGAUGAGGUCUUUGGCCAAGUCAUCGUCUGCCCAUUUUUAACAAACAAUUAAUGUAACAAACUUAGUCUUAUUAUAACCUAAUAAAACUUUCAACAACGGAUCUCUUGGCUCUC